CAGUAUUUAGUUUAAUUAAAAUAUAAUAUUUGGGUUAUUAAGAUGUUUUACUGA
Molecule: transfer RNA, 54 nt
Filed under: Cooperia oncophora
Lineage: Eukaryota; Metazoa; Nematoda; Chromadorea; Rhabditida; Trichostrongylidae
Description: tRNA-Pro
Source: RNAcentral